Molecule: long non-coding RNA, 210 nt
Filed under: Bos grunniens (domestic yak)
Lineage: Eukaryota; Metazoa; Chordata; Mammalia; Artiodactyla; Bovidae
Description: lncRNA (ENSBGRG00000024866.1)
Source: RNAcentral
AUGACAGAACCUUUGAAAAGCAGAGAAAAAGAAAAUCCCUCCCUAUUCAGUAUUAAUAACUGUUCAACGCAGACACUGGGUAACUAUGCUCUGAUUGACAGUGAGAGGAAAAAACACUUUCUUCCUUACCCCUUGAGUUUGACUGGACUUCCCUCCUGGCUCAGCCGGAACAAAAGCCAAGUUUGUUAUUUGUUCAUUUCUUGCAUUUGA